RNA transcript from Pan troglodytes (chimpanzee), 7652 nucleotides. It is a transcript of the gene named cadherin related family member 3, with no coding region annotated. Lineage: Eukaryota; Metazoa; Chordata; Mammalia; Primates; Hominidae. The transcript has 18 exons. The record is from RefSeq and is a predicted model, not a curated record.
CCUCAGCCUCCCAAAGUGCUGGGAUUACAGGCGUGAGCCACGGUGCCUGGCCAGCUUUAUUUUUUUUAAUAAGUAGGAGUAUACUCUAAAAUGACAGCAUAUAUUUAUUAUCAUUAUAAGUAUUAUGUACUGUACAUAACUGUAUGUGCUAGACUUUUGCAUAACUAGCAGUGCAGUAGGUUUGUUCCACCAGUAUCUCCCCAAACACAUGAGUAACGUGUUGCACUGUGAUGUUACAACAGUUACAACGUCACUAGUUGAUAGUAAUGUUUCAGCUCCAUUAUCAUCUAUGGGACCACCAUUGUGUACGAAGUCCAUGGUUGAUGGAAAUGUUGUCAUUAUGCGGUGCAUGACUAUAUGUUAUAGAUUAUGUAAGGGUAAUUGAGUUCCAAGUUCCAAGUCAAAAAAUGUUUGGAACACAACUCCUUUGCUAGCAAAUUAGACACUUAUAGUAGCUAGUUCCCAGGGAAGUCCCCUGAAAUACUUUAAGGGCGUGAAUCAUUGCUGAGCCAGAGAGCAUGUAGGAGAAGGCUCCUGGGUCUCAUGUGAAGCUGGAGGGGUGCCUGCCCUAGAGAUUCCGACCCUGCCUGAGGAACCCAUUCAUCCCAUCUGGCUGAGACCUUGGUGGAUCCAGGACAGCUCAGCAUGCUGACAGUCAGGGACAGGAGAGCCAGGGACCGCAAGGUCCCAUUCAGCCUUGGUGCGAUUCAGGCCCAGUUGGGUGUCUGGUGCUAGGACUAGGUGCUUUCGGAGGGAGAUGGGAAUUGACUCAUGGGCAGCAGCCCGUGGCAAUGGCAGAAACAACCUCGGGGCUGGAAACAGAAGCUGUAAUUACAGGAGAAAACACCCACAAUGAAUUCCAAAAGAUGACCCUUUUGCUCCCUAGAACCAGGGAGGGAAAGGAAGGGGAUGCAUGAUAUCCUGGUAAAAACAGGGCAACAUGAAAAAUGCUGUGCAGUCAGGCUGAAAAUUAAACAGAUGUGAGUUUCUUUAAUACAAAAGUUUAAUUAUUCUGACGUUUUCCAUAACUUAAUCUGAGCCAUCGCUUCAGCUUUAAUUAUGCAUAAUGAAAUGGAUUAUUUACAGUAACUCACAUGACAGGAAAAACUGAGAGGUGAGAAUUGGUAGCUUGGCAACUGUUGUUUAUUUUUCUUUUUAUUUGGCCAAUAUAUAUUGAGUACCUACUAUGUUUCAGCCCUUGCCAGGGUCCUAUUAGGAAAAAAUAGUGUGGCACAUGCCUGUAAUAUCAACACUUGGGGAGGCCGAGGUGGGAGAAUCGCUUGAGCCCAGAAGUUUGAGACCAGUUUGGGCAACAUAGGGAGACCUCCUCUCUAAAAAAAAAAAAUUUUAAUUAGCCUGGUGUGGUGGUGCACGCCUGUGGUCCCAGCUACUCCAGAGGCUGAGGUGGGCGGAUUGCUUGAGUCCAGGAGAUUGAGGCUGUAAUGAGCUAUGAUCGCGCUGCUACACUCUAGCCUGGGAGACAGAGUGACAGUGAGAUCCUGUCUCCAAAAAAAAAAAAAAAAAAAAAAGUAUUUUUAAAACACAUAGUAUGGGCCAGUUUCUUUCACUUCUUUCUCUUGUGUAUCGCUUGCGAUGAUACUGUGUAGCAGGUAUUAUUUUCCCUGAUUUACAGAAGUGAGUGGAACUGAGAUUCUGAAAGGUUAGGUAAAUUGCCAAAGGUGACACAGCAAAACUCCCUUUUGUUUUUUUGUUGUUGUUGUUGUUACCAUCUAUGUGCUUCAAACAGAGACCUAUCGACUAACUUUCCUAAUCUUAUUACCUUUCCUUCAUGCUUUAUAGAAGAAAAGUCAACUUUUCUUAAGGGAAACGUUCUUGUUAUUUUGAGCAGGAAAGUAAAUGACCAAAAUUGUACUUUGGGGAAAUUAACCUAAGUUUCUGUAGGAUGUGCUGCGGGCCAGAGCCCAGGCCAGAGGCAAGGACCUUAAGCCAGGGCAGUAGCAACAAGCAUGGGAAGGGGCCUGGCAGGAGGCCCUGGAGGCUGGAAAGGGCUUGUCAAAUGUUUGGAUGUGGUGGAAGGGAAGGGCAGCCUUGCCACCCUGGGUUUGGGAUGCAGGGGACACAGGGGACACUGGCAGGUGGCGCAGCCUGGGUCAAACCCCUCACUCUCUGAGCCCUUCUUGCUUGGCACCCUUGCAAAUAAAUGCCUUCCUUUCUAUUGCUGCAAAAACCUUGGCGUGGAUAUCCGGUUUUACUGCACAGGGUGAGUGGACCCAGUUUGGUUCCAUAACACUGUCUCCCUCUAUCCCUCGUUGGUGACCUCCGUGUAGCAGGUGCUAAAAGCUGGUUCACCUCUGGGGCAUGUGUAGUUUUCAGAGCACCUGUGGGGUCUUGUCCAGACUGGGAGGCUCUGACUCAACUCCCCAUCUUCUUCACUGCAUUCCUGCCCCCAGCCUUGGGCAGCUGGCCUCUCCUCCCCUAGCUGGCAGAGGAACGGGAGAGGUGGUCCAAGCCCAACUGCCUUCCACUGUGCCCACUACUUCUCUUACUGCACCAUGUCAAGGGGACAGGCCACUCCUCGGCCAUUCUCUCUCUGCUCUGCUGUUGCUCCUUCUCAGUGGAGACUAGACCCCAGCCCGCGUUUGUUCACAUGCCACAUCUUGUGCCCUGGCACAGGGCUGUGUGGAACAGAAAGGCAUCGUGAAGGGCAACACCUGCAUCACUCCCCAGUGGGCAGAAGCCUCACCACUCCAGUAAUCUUCCUUCACAGCCUUCUUCGAGGGCUGGAGGGGCGGUGGUGGGGGGUGGAGUCAGAGGGCAGUCUUCCACCUCAGGUCAGCCUCGAGGAGGGGUCUGCUCCCAGCUCUCAGAUCUUGUCUUUAGAACGAGUGCCAGUUAAUUCCCAAGUCUGAAUCCUACUCAUUGAUUCAGGACAGCAGAAAAACUCCCACUUCCCGCCCCUGUUUCUGGAAAUGACCACAAGCCUGGCUACAGGGCCACUGAGACCAUCAUGGGUGGACUAUGCAUGUCCAGCUCUUAGUGUGGUCUCCGUGUCUCGGUUUUCUCUUUUGACUUCUCUUUUGGAGCUCUUGGUUGAGACACUUGGUGAGUGUGGACUUUUAAGGUAAACUCUGAGCUGACCAGGACUGGCUGGUUGGUCUCUUGGGUGCUGUGCAGUCACAGAAGCAGGUAAUCAAAGAACAAACAGUCCUGUGGUGUUUGGAGUCUCCCUUGGCUACCGCCAAAGCCUCUGUUUGAUUUCUUGCAUGGCAACAAAACCAGGAGGGGAAGCUGAGUGGCUUCUGGAAUAAACUUUGGGUGUGAGACGGGAUUCAGGCUGCGGCUAAUGUGCUGGAAGCACGCACAGUUGUGACCAUCAAGUAUGCAAGAAGCAAUCAUUCUCCUGGCUCUCCUGGGUGCCAUGUCAGGGGGAGAAACACUACACCUAAUCCUCUUACCUGCUACAGGCAAUGUGGCAGAGAAUUCUCCACCUGGGACUUCAGUGCACAAGUUUUCUGUGAAGUUAUCAGCAUCACUGUCACCUGUGAUCCCAGGAUUUCCCCAGAUAAUCAACUCAAAUCCCCUCACUGAAGCUUUUAGGGUGAAUUGGCUGUCAGGCACCUACUUUGAGGUUGUCACCACUGGGAUGGAACAACUAGAUUUUGAAACAGGACCAAACAUAUUUGAUUUGCAGAUUUAUGUGAAGGAUGAGGUUGGUGUCACAGACCUGCAAGUCCUGACUGUCCAGGUAACAGAUGUGAAUGAGCCACCUCAGUUUCAAGGCAACUUGGCGGAAGGUCUAUACCUCUACAUAGUAGAAAGAGCAAACCCUGGAUUCAUUUACCAGGUUGAGGCCUUCGAUCCAGAAGACACAAGCCGAAACAUUCCCCUCAGUUAUUUCCUGAUUUCUCCCCCAAAGAGCUUCAGAAUGUCUGCUAAUGGCACCCUCUUCUCCACAACAGAAUUGGACUUUGAAGCAGGACACAGAAGUUUCCAUCUCAUCGUGGAGGUGAGGGACAGUGGAGGCCUCAAAGCCUCCACAGAGCUCCAGGUGAACAUCGUGAACCUCAACGACGAAGUCCCUCGCUUUACCAGCCCGACACGAGUGUACACAAUCCUGGAGGAACUGAGUCCAGGAACCAUCGUGGCCAAUAUCACAGCGGAGGAUCCUGAUGAUGAAGGUUUUCCCAGCCACCUCCUCUACAGCAUUACCACUGUUAGCAAAUAUUUCAUGAUAAAUCAGUUGACUGGUACAAUCCAAGUGGCCCAAAGGAUAGACCGAGACGCAGGUGAAUUGAGACAAAAUCCCACCAUUUCCCUGGAAGUUCUAGUGAAGGACAGACCAUAUGGGGGUCAGGAGAAUCGCAUCCAGAUAACCUUCAUUGUGGAAGACGUCAACGACAAUCCUGCCACAUGCCAAAAGUUCACCUUCAGCAUUAUGGUGCCGGAAAGAACAGCCAAGGGGACGUUGCUUCUUGACCUGAACAAGUUCUGCUUUGAUGAUGACAGUGAGGCACCAAACAACAGAUUCAACUUCACCAUGCCAUCUGGAGUGGGGAGCGGCAGCAGAUUUUUACAGGAUCCAGCUGGCUCUGGGAAAAUUGUGCUGAUUGGUGAUCUAGACUACGAAAAUCCAAGUAACCUAGCAGCCGGCAAUAAAUAUACGGUGAUAAUCCAGGUGCAGGAUGUGGCCCCCCCUUACUAUAAAAAUAACGUCUACGUUUAUAUCCUAACAAGCCCAGAAAAUGAGUUUCCUCUCAUUUUUGAUAGGCCAUCCUAUGUAUUUGAUGUGUCAGAAAGAAGGCCGGCCAGAACCCGAGUGGGACAGGUGCGAGCCACUGAUAAAGACCUCCCCCAGAGCAGCCUCGUGUACUCCAUCUCCACCGGAGGGGCCAGCCUCCAGUAUCCAAAUGUAUUUUGGAUUAAUCCCAAGACAGGAGAACUCCAGCUGGUAACUAAAGUGGACUAUGAAACAACCCCCAUCUAUAUUCUCAGAAUCCAGGCCACCAACAACGAAGACACAAGCUCUGUCACUGUUACUGUGAACAUCCUUGAAGAAAAUGAUGAAAAGCCAAUUUGUACUCCAAACUCUUAUUUCCUGGCCCUCCCAGUGGAUCUGAAAGUUGGCACAAAUAUUCAGAAUUUCAAGCUGACGUGUACCGACCUUGAUUCCAGCCCCAGAUCUUUCCGUUAUUCCAUUGGCCCAGGUAACGUCAACAAUCAUUUCACCUUCUCUCCCAAUGCUGGUUCCAAUGUCACACGCCUGCUGCUUACAUCUCGCUUUGACUAUGCUGGUGGGUUUGAUAAGAUCUGGGACUACAAGCUACUUGUCUACGUAACUGAUGACAACUUGCUGUCUGACAGGAAGAAAGCGGAGGCUCUUGUUGAGACAGGAACAGUGACACUGAGUAUUAAAGUCAUUCCCCACCCAACCACUAUCAUCACCACGACCCCCAGGCCCAGGGUCACCUAUCAGGUCCUGAGGAAAAACAUUUACUCUCCAUCUGCAUGGUACGUGCCAUUUGUCAUCACUUUGGGCUCCAUAUUGCUUCUGGGUCUCCUCGUGUACCUGGUCGUCCUAUUGGCCAAAGCCAUCCACAGACACUGCCCCUGCAAGACUGGGAAGAACAAGGAACCUCUUCAACCCCUGUAUCUCAAAGGGCAUAGUUGCCCAAAGAACCCUAUGGUGUCAUGUGUGUGCCAGUGCAGCAUACUUUCAAGUGAAUUAAUAGCCAUUCUUUUUCCCCCCAUAGGACAAAGAAAGGAGGUAUGUACAGUACCUGUUUCCCUUGUCUGUUGUUUUUUGCUUGCUCUGUUGUGCUACGUAAAAAGGUUCCUACUCGGCAAAGAAUCAGGCCGCGAUCACAUCUUGGAGCAUUUUCAGCUGCAUCUUCUGUGGCUGGAAGGAAGCGGAGGUCGGUUGCAGCUGGAGAAUGGGAAGGGUGGGGGGACAGUGCCUUGGCCUGCCUGGAUAUCUCAAUUUGGUCCUGCCUAUGCCCUACCUAGAGCCCUCGCCAAUCAUCUCAGCUGAACACCUAGGUCUGUGCCUUGCUGCAUGGCACAGGAAGAAAGAACUCUCCGUGUGUUAAAUGUAGACAGGACCUGCUUACUGCGGCCCAUGGAGGGUGUCCUGAGGACAGCUAAUGCUUUGUGCUGGACACAGGCCUCUUUUGAAAGAACAGAUAAGGCUGGGCGCAGUGACUCACACCUGUAAUCCCAGCACUUUGAGAGGACGAGGUGGGUGGAUCACAAGGUCAGGAGUUUGAGACCAGCCUGGCCAGCAUGGUGAAACCCCGUCUCUACUAAAAAUACAAAAAAUUAGCCGGGCAUGGUGGUACGCACCUGUAGUCCCAGCUACUCGGGAGGCUGAGGCAGGAGAAUUGCUUGAACCCAGCAGGUGGAGGUUGCCGUCAGCCAAGAUCACGCCACUGCACUCCAGACUGGGCGACAUAGUGAGACUCUGUCUCAAAAAAAAAAAGAACAGAUAAUACUUGAUUCCCAGAUUCUAAUGGAUUUGAUCAUUUCCACAAAUUAUUUAGGUUAGACUAGUGAGAAGGGGGAGAUGAGGGUGGUGAGAUGGGCUGAGAGCUGACUGACUUCAGAGAAGUGGGUAAAUUGGGAAGGUCCAUCUGAGCAGCUCCAGGUCUGAGGAGGUGUCCUGGCUUGGCCUCAAGUAGACUCCAGAGUAUGGGGGAGACAGGACAAAGAAUUGGACAGUGUUUUAAUUAAAAAAAAAAAAAGUUUGCUUUAAUCACUCCAUCUACAGGCAUGUGUCUGACAUGCUUAAGGCAUGUCUCAACAGGGUUAGAAAUUUGAUUAUAGUGGUUAUUGAUCAUAUUGACAGAGAUGAUUUUAAUAAAUGAGAUUUUCACAAACUGUCUCUAAUCCCACUUUUUAAAAAGGGGAUGGGGGCUGGGCAUGGUGGCUCACACUUAUAAUCCCAGCACUCUGGGAGGCCAAGGCUAGAGGAUCACUUGAGCCCAGAAGUUCGAGACCAGCUUGGGCAACAUAGUGAAACCCUGUCUGUAGAAAAAAAUUUUUUAAAUUAGCUGGGUGUGAUAGUGUACGCCUGUAGUCUUAGCUACUGGGGAGAUAGCUGAGAGGAUCACUUGAGCUCAAGAGGUCAAGGCUGCAGCGAGUUGUGACCACACUCUAGCCUGGACGACAAGAGUGAGACCCUGUCUCAAAAUAAAAUAAAUAAAAUAAAACAAAAUAAAAUAAAAUAAAAUAAAAGGGCUUGGGAAUUAAUGCACAAAACCCACACCUUAUGAACAGAGGUAUCCAAUCCAAUCUUUCUUUAAAAGCCAUGUAAAAGCCAGUUUUCUAGGUCCACUGAUAAUAAGCUAGAAAAAGAAUAAAAAACAACUAAAUUGUUUGAAUAUUAUUGUGUGUGUGUGUAUACAUAUGUGUAUGUAUUUUUUUCUGAGAAGAUGGAAAGUUGUCAAGAAACAUAUCUAUAGACAGAACAAUUCUUUGCUGUGUCUGCAAGACUGAGAUCGAAGCCUAUUUAGGGGAAAUACCAUUGUGGAGGUGGAAUUUUAAGGUCAAUUUACCACCCAAGAAGCUUAACUUCUGCCUGUUCUGUUCUCUGCAGAAACGAAGACUGCAGAGAGAGACGUCGUGGUGGAAACUAUCCAGAUGAACACUAUCUUUGAUGGAGAAGCCAUAGAUCCAGUGACCGGGGAAACAUAUGA